RNAcentral lists this ribosomal RNA (497 nucleotides) under uncultured bacterium. Its description in RNAcentral is "partial 16S ribosomal RNA". It matches the Rfam family "Bacterial small subunit ribosomal RNA", at positions 28 to 507 of the family's 1533-position model. The record is from RNAcentral.
GAUGAACGCUGGCGGCGUGCCUAAUACAUGCAAGUCGAGCGAACAGACGAGGAGCUUGCUCCUUUGACGUUAGCGGCGGACGGGUGAGUAACACGUAGGUAACCUACCUAUAAGACUGGGAUAACUUCGGGAAACCGGAGCUAAUACCGGAUAAUAUUUCGAACCGCAUGGUUCGAUAGUGAAAGAUGGCUUUGCUAUCACUUAUAGAUGGACCUGCGCCGUAUUAGCUAGUUGGUAAGGUAACGGCUUACCAAGGCAACGAUACGUAGCCGACCUGAGAGGGGGAUAGGCCACACUGGAACUGAGACACGGUCCAGACUCCUACGGGAGGCAGCAGUAGGGAAUCUUCCGCAAUGGGCGAAAGCCUGACGGAGCAACGCCGCGUGAGUGAUGAAGGUCUUCGGAUCGUAAAACUCUGUUAUUAGGGAAGAACAAACGUGUAAGUAACUGUGCACGUCUUGACGGUACCUAAUCAGAAAGCCACGGCUAACUACGUG